Molecule: non-coding RNA, 752 nt
Organism: Megalobrama amblycephala (Wuchang bream)
Lineage: Eukaryota; Metazoa; Chordata; Actinopteri; Cypriniformes; Xenocyprididae
Source: the annotation of a RefSeq genome assembly
UCUUAUUUUAUUCUGCACUUACUUUAAAUCCUCCACAUUAAUUCAUUCUCAUUUACUGUAAAAUCCUUCAGAAUAUUCUGAGAGCGUCGGACAAGUUUUAAUUAAACCAUGACGAUAAUCAAAAUAUGCAUAUAUUACAAUGCAAUCAUCAUAUGAGAGAAGAUAGUUGAGGAAGGGUUUCUGUAAUGAUAUUUUGCAUUGGCAGCUCAUGCCUCAGUGCUCUGGGAGUGUUUAUAGUUCUGUGAACGAUUUUAACACACAAGAUCUGUCCACUCGAAUACAGAAGACAAUAUGAUUCUCUUCAUCUGGGCAUUUUUCUGCAUCCAAGGCUCUUUGGGGCAGGUCGUUGUGACUCAACCUGAGUUCAAAUCAGUUCAGCUUGGUCAAACAGUCUCUAUUGAUUGUAAGGUCAACACUGUAGUUUAUAGGUAUCCUGAGGGUUCAGUAUCCAAAGAUUUCUACAUCUCCUGGUACAUUCAGAAGGCAGAGGAACCCCCUAAACUCCUUGUAUAUUUCACAACAAUGAAGCCCUCGAGUGCUCCAUCUAGAAUGAGCGGUGGAGGCAGUUUUCACUCUGGAGGAAAUGGUCUUGAUUUCACUCUGACCAUCAGUGAUGCCCAGCUUGAAGAUGCGAGAGAUUAUUACUGUCAGAGUUACCAUGCGAUCAGUGGUAAAGCAGUGUUCACACAGUGAAAAAAUGCCACACAAAAACCUCCCUUGGUUAAACCUCAGAGAAUCCUCUCUCUCUCUAC